Molecule: ribosomal RNA, 705 nt
Filed under: uncultured Bacillus sp.
Lineage: Bacteria; Bacillati; Bacillota; Bacilli; Caryophanales; Bacillaceae
Description: bacterial SSU rRNA
Rfam family: Bacterial small subunit ribosomal RNA
Source: RNAcentral
GUUUUCGGAUCGUAAAACUCUGUUGUUAGGGAAGAACAAGUAUCGGAGUAACUGCCGGUACCUUGACGGUACCUAACCAGAAAGCCACGGCUAACUACGUGCCAGCAGCCGCGGUAAUACGUAGGUGGCAAGCGUUGUCCGGAAUUAUUGGGCGUAAAGCGCGCGCAGGCGGUCCUUUAAGUCUGAUGUGAAAGCCCACGGCUCAACCGUGGAGGGUCAUUGGAAACUGGGGGACUUGAGUGCAGAAGAGGAGAGUGGAAUUCCACGUGUAGCGGUGAAAUGCGUAGAGAUGUGGAGGAACACCAGUGGCGAAGGCGACUCUCUGGUCUGUAACUGACGCUGAGGCGCGAAAGCGUGGGGAGCGAACAGGAUUAGAUACCCUGGUAGUCCACGCCGUAAACGAUGAGUGCUAAGUGUUAGAGGGUUUCCGCCCUUUAGUGCUGCAGCAAACGCAUUAAGCACUCCGCCUGGGGAGUACGGCCGCAAGGCUGAAACUCAAAGGAAUUGACGGGGGCCCGCACAAGCGGUGGAGCAUGUGGUUUAAUUCGAAGCAACGCGAAGAACCUUACCAGGUCUUGACAUCCUCUGACAACCCUAGAGAUAGGGCGUUCCCCUUCGGGGGACAGAGUGACAGGUGGUGCAUGGUUGUCGUCAGCUCGUGUCGUGAGAUGUUGGGUUAAGUCUCGCAACGAGCGCAACCCUUGA